RNAcentral lists this unclassified non-coding RNA (271 nucleotides) under uncultured fungus. RNAcentral describes it as "partial contains 5.8S ribosomal RNA, internal transcribed spacer 2, and large subunit ribosomal RNA". Lineage: Eukaryota; Fungi. The record is from RNAcentral. RNAcentral also lists the same sequence under 1 other name.
AACGCACCUUGCGCCCUGUGGCUUUCCACAGGGCACGCCCGUUCGAGUGUCACGUUAACCCUCGCCAGCGGUACGGCAACGUAUCGUGAAGCGGAUUUGGGCGUUGCCGGUCGUGAGAUCGGCUCGUCUCGAAAUGCAUUAGCGAAGUGCGAAGCACGUGCGACGUUGAUAAUUGUCUACGCCUCGCGGACUUUGCUCCUCGCUUCCAAUCGUCGUGAGACAAUCAUCAUGGUUUGACCUCGAAUCGGGUGGGACUACCCGCUGAACUUAA